AAACAACUCUCAGCAACGGAUAUCUUG
Molecule: ribosomal RNA, 27 nt
Filed under: Hypnum jutlandicum
Lineage: Eukaryota; Viridiplantae; Streptophyta; Bryopsida; Hypnales; Hypnaceae
Description: partial 5.8S ribosomal RNA
Source: RNAcentral